Etheostoma cragini (Arkansas darter) is the source of this 98-nucleotide long non-coding RNA. RefSeq lists it as uncharacterized. The transcript is spliced from 3 exons. NCBI's taxonomy places the organism in Eukaryota, Metazoa, Chordata, Actinopteri, Perciformes, Percidae. The record is from RefSeq and is a predicted model, not a curated record.
ACAAGAUGCCAUGGAGUACGUCCCAUAGCACUUAAAUUGCCUCCUCAAAGCCUCCACUUGCCUCCCUUCCUCCCAUCGUAGUCCCUCCCACCGAGGAG